This 323-nucleotide ribosomal RNA is filed under the name Hetaerina americana (American ruby spot damselfly). RNAcentral describes it as "partial 12S ribosomal RNA". The record is from RNAcentral. Lineage: Eukaryota; Metazoa; Arthropoda; Insecta; Odonata; Calopterygidae.
AGUCAAGAAACUUAAUAAAUUAUUUUACUUUCAAAUCCACCUUCAGUACCCUAAGAUAAAGUACAUCCGUUUAAAUAAAAUUAUUGUAGCCCAUUACCUACUUGUAUAUAAGCUGCACCUUGACCUGACAUUCUUACAUUUAAUAAUUAAGAGAGUUCUCCCUAAAAGGACACUCUUAUGACGGAGGUAUACAAACUGAAAACAAAUACAAGUAAAAAUUAUCGUGGAUUAUCGAUUAAAGAACAGGCUCCUCUGAAAAGACUAAAAUACCGCCAAAUCCUUUGGGUUUCAAGAACUUAGCUAUUACUACCCGAUCAAAAAAU